This 307-nucleotide small nuclear RNA is filed under the name Canis lupus familiaris (dog). Its description in RNAcentral is "7SK RNA". It matches the Rfam family "7SK RNA". Rfam says of the family: 7SK was discovered as an abundant small nuclear RNA in the mid-70s but a possible function has only recently been suggested. Two independent studies have found that 7SK RNA binds the CDK9/cyclin T complex (known as elongation factor P-TEFb). Lineage: Eukaryota; Metazoa; Chordata; Mammalia; Carnivora; Canidae. The record is from Rfam by way of RNAcentral. RNAcentral also lists the same sequence under 1 other name.
GGAUGUGAGGGUGACCUGGCUGUGACAUCUCUCACCCCAUUGAUGGCCAAGGUUGAUUUGGCUGAUCUGGCUAUCCCCUUUCUCCCUUAGGGCUCCAUAUGUGUCCUUCCCAAAGCUGCCCACUCAGUGGAAGAGGGCAACCUUAUCUGAUAGAGGAGGAUUGUUCUUCAAAGGUAUUUCAGUAACUCCCCUGCUAGAACUUCCAAACAAGCUCUAAGGUCCAGUUGUAGAAGGUGAGGUCAGUCAAGCUUCUAAGAUUGCAGAUACAUCCAAACAAGGCGCUGCAUGGAGCAGUCUGCCUUUCUCA